RNAcentral lists this long non-coding RNA (352 nucleotides) under Gallus gallus (chicken). RNAcentral describes it as "long non-coding RNA NONGGAT012087". The record is from RNAcentral. Lineage: Eukaryota; Metazoa; Chordata; Aves; Galliformes; Phasianidae.
CUAAUGCAUGAGGUUGAAAGAGGACAUCCAGCAGGAGACUACAAGACAAGAUUUCUGUCAAAGAAAGAGAGCAAGGAUAAUUCCAUACUUCUAAAGGAGUCUGACAAACAUGGUUCUGCAUGAUGCAGGCAUUCUGAAGUAGACAGAGAAUUUUAAAGUGGCUAUGAAAGGGAAGCAAGACCAAGAACACAAAGACACCUUUGAUUCAACAAUGAGGGAGAAAAAGAAAGAUUAAGUCACAACUGGAGAUGACUGAGAAAUUAUCAGAGGUAUGGUCUAAACAGAAGAAGGCUGUAGAGGAAGCCAUUUUGUGGGACAGGUACUACUCUGUGUUCUCCAGCAUCUUGGCGCC